GGGGGGUAGAAUUCCAGGUGUAGCGGUGAAAUGCGUAGAGAUCUGGAGGAAUACCGGUGGCGAAGGCGGCCCCCUGGACAAAGACUGACGCUCAGGUGCGAAAGCGUGGGGAGCAAACAGGAUUAGAUACCCUGGUAGUCCACGCCGUAAACGAUGUCGAUUUGGAGGUUGUGCCCUUGAGGCGUGGCUUCCGGAGCUAACGCGUUAAAUCGACCGCCUGGGGAGUACGGCCGCAAGGUUAAAACUCAAAUGAAUUGACGGGGGCCCGCACAAGCGGGGGAGCAUGUGGUUUAAUUCGAUGCAACGCGAAGAACCUUACCUGGUCUUGACAUCCACAGAACUUUCCAGAGAUGGAUUGGUGCCUUCGGGAACUGUGAGACAGGUGCUGCAUGGCUGUCGUCAGCUCGUGUUGUGAAAUGUUGGGUUAAGUCCCGCAACGAGCGCAACCCUUAUCCUUUGUUGCCAGCGGUUCGGCCGGGAACUCAAAGGAGACUGCCAGUGAUAAACUGGAGGAAGGUGGGGAUGACGUCAAGUCAUCAUGGCCCUUACGACCAGGGCUACACACGUGCUACAAUGGCAUAUACAAAGAGAAGCGACCUCGCGAGAGCAAGCGGACCUCAUAAAGUAUGUCGUAGUCCGGAUUGGAGUCUGCAACUCGACUCCAUGAAGUCGGAAUCGCUAGUAAUCGUAGAUCAGAAUGCUACGGUGAAUACGUUCCCGGGCCUUGUACACACCGCCCGUCACACCAUGGGAGUGGGUUGCAAAAGAAGUAGGUAGCUUAACCUUCGGGAGGGCGCUUACCACUUUGUGAUUCAUGACUGGGGUGAAGUCGUAACAAGGUAACCGUAGGGGAACCUGCGGUUGGAUCACCUCCUUACCUUAAAGAA
RNAcentral lists this ribosomal RNA (887 nucleotides) under Klebsiella pneumoniae. RNAcentral describes it as "bacterial SSU rRNA". It matches the Rfam family "Bacterial small subunit ribosomal RNA", at positions 656 to 1533 of the family's 1533-position model. The record is from RNAcentral. Lineage: Bacteria; Pseudomonadati; Pseudomonadota; Gammaproteobacteria; Enterobacterales; Enterobacteriaceae.